This 576-nucleotide ribosomal RNA is filed under the name Trichoderma asperellum. RNAcentral describes it as "eukaryotic LSU rRNA". The stretch from base 186 to 339 matches the Rfam family "5.8S ribosomal RNA". The record is from RNAcentral. Lineage: Eukaryota; Fungi; Ascomycota; Sordariomycetes; Hypocreales; Hypocreaceae.
CUAAGGCGGUUUAUCCUCCCAGCCCCGUGUGAACGUUACCAAACUGUUGCCUCGGCGGGGUCACGCCCCGGGUGCGUCGCAGCCCCGGAACCGGGCGCCCGCCGGAGGAACCAACCGAACUCUUUCUGUAGUCCCCUCGCGGACGUAUUUCUUACGUGUCUGAUCAAAAUUUCAAAAUGAAUCACAACUUUCGGGUUCGGAUCUCUUGGUUCUGGCAUCAAUGAAGAACGCACCGAAAUGCGAUAAGUAAUGUGAAUUGCACAAUUCAGUGAAUCAUCCAAUCUUUGAACGCACAUUGCGCCCGCCAGUAUUCUGGCGGGCAUGCCUGUCCGAGCGUCAUUUCAACCCUCGAACCCCUCCGGGGGAUCGGCGUUGGGGAUCGGGACCCCUCACACGGGUGCCGGCCCCUAAAUACAGUGGCGGUCUCGCCGCAGCCUCUCCUGCGGAGUAGUUUGGACAACUCGCACCGGGAGCGCGGGGCGUCCGCGUCCGCCAAACACCCAACUUUCUGAAAUGUUGACCUCGGAUCAGGUAGGAAUACCCGCUGAACUUAAGCAUAUCAAUAAGCGGAGGAAA